UACGUAGGGGGCAAGCGUUGUCCGGAAUUAUUGGGCGUAAAGCGCGCGCAGGCGGUCUUUUAGGUCUGAUGUGAAAGCCCACGGCUUAACCGUGGAGGGUCAUUGGAAACUGGAGGACUUGAGUGCAGAAGAGGAGAGUGGAAUUCCACGUGUAGCGGUGAAAUGCGUAGAGAUGUGGAGGAACACCAGUGGCGAAGGCGACUCUCUGGUCUGUAACUGACGCUGAGGCGCGAAAGCGUGGGUAGCGAACAGG
This 253-nucleotide ribosomal RNA is filed under the name uncultured bacterium. Its description in RNAcentral is "partial 16S ribosomal RNA". It matches the Rfam family "Bacterial small subunit ribosomal RNA", at positions 524 to 776 of the family's 1533-position model. The record is from RNAcentral.